This 248-nucleotide unclassified non-coding RNA is filed under the name Pseudopithomyces sp. Its description in RNAcentral is "partial contains 5.8S ribosomal RNA, internal transcribed spacer 2, and large subunit ribosomal RNA". RNAcentral also lists the same sequence under 5 other names. The record is from RNAcentral. Lineage: Eukaryota; Fungi; Ascomycota; Dothideomycetes; Pleosporales; Didymosphaeriaceae.
AACGCACAUUGCGCCCCUCGGUAUUCCGUGGGGCAUGCCUGUUCGAGCGUCAUCUACACCCUCAAGCUCUGCUUGGUGUUGGGCGUCUGUCCCGCCUCCGCGCGUGGACUCGCCCCAAAUUCAUUGGCAGCGGUCCUUGCCUCCUCUCGCGCAGCACAUUGCGCUUCUUGAGGGGCUCCGGUUCGCGUCCAACAAGCACAUUUACCGUCUUUGACCUCGGAUCAGGUAGGGAUACCCGCUGAACUUAA